GAGGUCCGACCUGCCCAGUGAUAUUAAUUCAACGGCCGCGGUAUUCUGACCGUGCUAAGGUAGCACAAUCACUUGUCUCUUAAAUGGGGACUAGUAUGAAAGGCCCCACGAGGGUCUAACUGUCUCCUUUUUUUAAUCUGUGAAACUAAUCUCCCCGUGAAGAAGCGGGGAUUAUUAUAUAAGACGAGAAGACCCUAUGGAGCUUUAGAUAAAACAAUAUAUUUCCCCCCCAUUCCCUGCUAUUUCAGAAAAUCAACUACCAAGGAAUUUUAUUGCUAGUCUUUGGUUGGGGCGGCCGCGGAGAAAAACUUAUCCUCCACGAUGAGUGGGAACUUCCCAUAAUAAAGAGCCACAGCUCAGUGUAUCAAAAAAUUGACAAUUGACCCAAUAUUUGAUCAACGAAACAAGUUACCCUAGGGAUAACAGCGCAAUCUACUUCAAGAGUACUUAUUGACGAGUGGGUUU
Molecule: ribosomal RNA, 465 nt
Filed under: Ischnocnema aff. guentheri 4 MG-2013
Lineage: Eukaryota; Metazoa; Chordata; Amphibia; Anura; Brachycephalidae
Description: partial 16S ribosomal RNA
Rfam family: Bacterial large subunit ribosomal RNA
Source: RNAcentral